RNAcentral lists this ribosomal RNA (253 nucleotides) under uncultured bacterium. RNAcentral's name for it is "partial 16S ribosomal RNA". It matches the Rfam family "Bacterial small subunit ribosomal RNA", at positions 524 to 776 of the family's 1533-position model. The record is from RNAcentral.
UACGUAGGGUGCAGGCGUUAAUCGGAAUUACUGGGCGUAAAGCGUGCGCAGGCGGUUUUGUAAGACAGAUGUGAAAUCCCCGGGCUUAACCUGGGAACUGCAUUUGUGACUGCAUGGCUGGAGUGCGGCAGAGGGGGAUGGAAUUCCGCGUGUAGCAGUGAAAUGCGUAGAUAUGCGGAGGAACACCGAUGGCGAAGGCAAUCCCCUGGGCCUGCACUGACGCUCAUGCACGAAAGCGUGGGGAGCAAACAGG